RNAcentral lists this long non-coding RNA (278 nucleotides) under Elaeis guineensis (African oil palm). RNAcentral describes it as "long non-coding RNA (EGUI_LNC056711)". Lineage: Eukaryota; Viridiplantae; Streptophyta; Magnoliopsida; Arecales; Arecaceae. The record is from RNAcentral.
UGACACUACUACCUAGAUAUUGGAUAUCGAAAGUUUAUGUAAAUUAUUGCAACGACUUCAAAUUAGUAGAAAGUUUGAAAAUAGUAAGAGAUUUCUAAACAUUUGGAAGUCAUAUUUCAAUCCUGAUUUUAAGAAUUGUCGAGCUUAUUUUCAAUUCCAACAAUAUCAUUUUAGUGAUUGUCACUAUUGUCUAAUGAUUUUUGUGAUAUCAUUAUGAAUGAUAUCAAAUCAUAUGGACAACUGAGAAAUGAUAUUUAUGAGUAGUCAUAGUCUAUUAG